AGUGAACGCUGGCGGCGUGCUUAACACAUGCAAGUCGAACGCGAAAGGGGAGCAAUCCCUGAGUAGAGUGGCGAACGGGUGAGUAAUGUGUGGGUAAUCUGCCUUUCAGCGGGGGAUAACCUGGCGAAAGCCGGGCUAAUACCGCGUAAUGUUACGUUUCCUUCGGGUAAUGUAAUCAAAGAUGGGGAUCCGCAAGGACCUAUCGCUGAAAGAUGAGCUCACAUCCUAUCACGCUUGUUGGUAGGGUAACGGCCUACCAAGGCGACGACGGGUAGCCGGCCUGAGAGGGUGUCCGGCCACACUGGAACUGAGACACGGUCCAGACUCCUACGGGAGGCAGCAGUGGGGAAUUUUUCGCAAUGGGCGCAAGCCUGACGAAGCAACGCCGCGUGGAGGAUGAAGGCUCUAGUGGUUGUAAACUCCUGUCUAGCGGGACGAAACUCAUCAAGGUGAAUAUCCUUGGUGGUUGACUGUACCGCUGGAGGAAGCUCCGGCUAACUCCGUGC
Molecule: ribosomal RNA, 506 nt
Filed under: uncultured bacterium
Lineage: Bacteria
Description: bacterial SSU rRNA
Rfam family: Bacterial small subunit ribosomal RNA
Source: RNAcentral